Molecule: ribosomal RNA, 586 nt
Filed under: uncultured bacterium
Lineage: Bacteria
Description: bacterial SSU rRNA
Rfam family: Bacterial small subunit ribosomal RNA
Source: RNAcentral
GGGCCCGCACAAGCAGCGGAGCGUGUGGUUUAAUUCGAGGCUACACGAAGAACCUUACCUAGGUUUGCAUGGUAACGAACGAGGGUGAAAGCCUGAGGUUCGCAAGACGUUACCACUGGUGCUGCAUGGCUGUCGUCAGCUCGUGUCGUGAGAUGUUAGGUUAAGUCCUGUAACGAGCGCAACCCCCGGAAGUAGUUACACGUUGUCUACUUCAACUGCCUGCGCAAGUGGGAGGAAGGUGGGGAUGACGUCAAGUCAGCAUGGCCUGUAUAUCUAGGGCUACACACACGCUACAAUGGUCGGUACAACAGGUUGCCAAGCCGCAAGGCGGAGCUAAUCCUCUAAAGCCGAUCUCAGUUCAGAUUGUGGGCUGCAACCCGCCCACAUGAAGUCGGAGUUGCUAGUAACCGUGCGUCAGCUAUAGCGCGGUGAAUACGUUCCCGGGCCUUGUACACACCGCCCGUCACGUCAUGGGAGCUGGUCACGCCUGAAGCCGGUGGGCUAACCGCAAGGAGGCAGCCGUCUAGGGUAGGGCCGGUGACUGGGACGAAGUCGUAACAAGGUAGCUGUACCGGAAGGUGCGGCU